UGUGUGAGUGAGCAAAGCGGACGUCUCUUAUAAAGUCCCCGCUGCCUGCACAUGGAUGUGCGAUCUCCAGCCUUCUCUUUGUGUGUAGUGAAUGCUUGUGAGUGAUAUAGUGCAGUGUCCCAGUACACCCAUAGUGAUGCGAUAUGUGUCUUUGUUUGUAUUUAAAUAAUGUUCAUUAUAUCUACCGAUCAUGAAUUGGCUCUCCGUAAGACCUCUUUAGUGCGAUUUUGUGUUAAGCCACAGUGGUGCUCCUCGGACGCCAUGUGUGUUGCGGCUCGGGUGCUCUAACACGUGUUCUGGAUUACGACAAAGUCCUCCUGCUCUCGCGAUAUUCGACCCGCCUUCCAUAGACAAGAUCUGCUCGUCCGGAAUAUUGAUCUUCGCCUGUCACUUUUAUGCGUGAUGGCGGGCGGCGGGCGGCGGCGCAGCGCGGCGGGCGGCGGUGAGGGCGGCGCGCGGCCAUGACGGG
This is a long non-coding RNA of Penaeus indicus, 469 nucleotides long. RefSeq lists it as uncharacterized. The transcript has 3 exons. Lineage: Eukaryota; Metazoa; Arthropoda; Malacostraca; Decapoda; Penaeidae. The record is from RefSeq and is a predicted model, not a curated record.